GGGGAAUAUUGCACAAUGGGGGAAACCCUGAUGCAGCGACGCCGCGUGAAGGAAGAAGUAUCUCGGUAUGUAAACUUCUAUCAGCAGGGAAGAGAUUGACGGUACCUGACUAAGAAGCCCCGGCUAACUACGUGCCAGCAGCCGCGGUAAUACGUAGGGGGCAAGCGUUAUCCGGAUUUACUGGGUGUAAAGGGAGCGUAGACGGAUGGACAAGUCUGAUGUGAAAGGCUGGGGCUCAACCCCGGGACUGCAUUGGAAACUGCCCGUCUUGAGUGCCGGAGAGGUAAGCGGAAUUCCUAGUGUAGCGGUGAAAUGCGUAGAUAUUAGGAGGAACACCAGUGGCGAAGGCGGCUUACUGGACGGUAACUGACGUUGAGGCUCGAAAGCGUGGGGAGCAAACAGGAUUAGAUACCCUGGUAGUCCACGCGGUAAACGAUGAAUGCUAGGUGUCGGGUGAC
RNAcentral lists this ribosomal RNA (458 nucleotides) under uncultured bacterium. RNAcentral describes it as "bacterial SSU rRNA". It matches the Rfam family "Bacterial small subunit ribosomal RNA", at positions 356 to 831 of the family's 1533-position model. The record is from RNAcentral.